This 449-nucleotide ribosomal RNA is filed under the name uncultured bacterium. RNAcentral's name for it is "partial 16S ribosomal RNA". It matches the Rfam family "Bacterial small subunit ribosomal RNA", at positions 338 to 795 of the family's 1533-position model. The record is from RNAcentral.
CCUACGGGGGGCUGCAGUGGGGAAUUUUGGACAAUGGGCGCAAGCCUGAUCCAGCCAUUCCGCGUGAGUGAAGAAGGCCUUCGGGUUGUAAAGCUCUUUCGCAAGGGAAGAAAACUUAUCCUCUAACAUAGGAUGAGGUUGACGGUACCUUGAUAAGAAGCACCGGCUAACUACGUGCCAGCAGCCGCGGUAAUACGUAGGGUGCGAGCGUUCAUCGGGCGUACUCGGGGUAUUUUGUGAGCCAGAUGUGAAAUCCCCGAGCUCAACUUGGGAACUGCGUUUGAAACUACAAGACUAGAAUAGGUCAGAGGGUGGUAGAAUUCCACGUGUAGCAGUGAAAUGCGUAGAGAUGUGGGGGAAUAUCAAUGGCGAAGGCAGCCCCCUGGGAUCAUAUUGACGCUCAUGCACGAAAGCGUGGGGAGCAAACAGGAUUAGAUACCCUAGUAGUC